This 3771-nucleotide long non-coding RNA is filed under the name Canis lupus familiaris (dog). RNAcentral describes it as "lncRNA (ENSCAFG00845008638.1)". Lineage: Eukaryota; Metazoa; Chordata; Mammalia; Carnivora; Canidae. The record is from RNAcentral.
UUUUUUAUUUUGGGAUGCUUAUGAAGUUUGGGGCUGCUGGUCAGAGACUGAGACAGAGAACACUGCCUGAGAUAGAGAAGUUUCACAAGCUAAAUCUGGCAAGUUCUAGUUCUUACUGAAAGUGAAAUAAAAAACAUAAGUAUCAGUUGAUUCUAACCUGGAUUUUGGAUUUCCUAAAACAAGUGUGAUUUAGAAAUGAAUAGUUUUAUGCAAGGAGAAAAAGGAAAAAUAAAUUAAGAUUGAGAUAAGAAAGGAUAAACAUGAGAAAGAAAAAAGCAAGACUGGUGAGAGCCUAUGAGGGGAGGAAGUCUCAGAAAAGAAAGAAAAAAAAUGGAAAGGUUCAUUGGAAAGGAUAACUAGAGGUUGAGUAAGGGGUAGAAAAAUAAAAAAAAAAAAAAGAAUUAAAUUACCUAAAAAAUAAAAAACAACAAACCUAAGCCAAGUAUUAAAGGGCAUCCUGUUAUCAUACUGAUUGUAAAUCUCAGAUAAUUGUUAUAUACUCUGCUGAAUGAGAUAAUGAGUUCUUGGAGAGUAGAACUGGAGUGUCUAUGUGCAGGUGUGUGUAUGUGUGUAAAUGGGUGCACACACAGUUGUGUACGUUUAUGCUUGCAUGUAUGUGCCUAUGUGUUUCCCUCUCUGUAUCCUCAGCAUUUCGGCAAAUCACUUGACAAACAGUAAGUGCUUAAUAAAUGCUUGUUUAAUGAGUGACUUUUGGUUAGCCAUUCAUAGUUACUUAAUUUGUUCUGAUUUUCAAAUCAUAAGAAGGAAUAUUCUAAAUGAGAAAACUGGAGCAUCCACUAAUCCAGAAAUAAUCCUCUGCUCUAGAGCAUUAGUAGAAAGAGAAUAUGACAGUGGAGGCUAGAUGAAAUCAAAUCUCUUUCUAGAUGUGUCCCACUUCCCUUUUAGUUUCUUAGAAACAGAGCUCCUGGGACACCGAAGAAAAGUCUGGCACUUGAGUAAAGGAGCAGUACAACAAAGCAUCACUUUUACUAAUAGGUUUUUCUCAUAUUCAGGCCCUGAAGGAUUGCAAAGUAUGCUUCCAGCAGAUGGCGGCGUUUUGCAUACAUAAUAAAGAUAUUCACAUCUCCAGAGUUUUGUAAUUACCUUAGAAUUAAGGAGAAGGAAAAAAGAAAAAAAAAAAAAGAGGAGUAAAAUCCUUCUGCUUCCUCUCCUUUUUAGUUCCAUUAUCAUAAUCUGUAUCCCAUUUCAAUUUUCAUUAUUCUCAGAAGAGUACAACAGACCGAUAGGCAAUGAGUAGUCUGUAUUGGAGAGACAAUUUAAUUGCUCUGCUAAAAAAGAAAUUCAGCUCACACAAAACAGGGCCAACCUUUUCCAUUUGAUCUUACAGCUCAAAUGUCAAAUGUGCCAUACAUUUUAUGUGAUUCGAAAGAGUAUAAAUGGAAACAAAGAUUUUAGACAUUCCAUUCUGCCUCACUACAAUUUUAUUCAUUAAAAAAAAUUUCCUCAGUGGCAUUUAACAAACUUAAAACAUAACAAUCCUCAGGAAUAUGUCAAGGUCUCAACAGACUACUCCAGUGUAUGUGGAGCUGGUUGACUGUUUUUAGUUGAAUCCAUUGAAGGUGUUGUGUAUUAAAUUGCUGGAAGCCUUUCAGAAUCCUGGCUUAGAGAGUACAUGGAAAAUAAAUAGAGUGGCUACUGUCAGUGCCUUCAUUUGCAUACUAAUGCUGAAAAUUCUGUCAGUUUCAUAGAAAUGAUAGUGAUUGAGGUCUAAGAAUGAAAGUGAGUGGUUUGGAUGAACACAGGGGUCACCAGAAUUUUCUCUGCUUGCAUGCCAAUAUUUCAAAUGAUUUUCUCUGCAGCAUAAGCUGGGUCCUUCACUGUUUUGUGUCCUCUGAGGCAGUAUUAUGAAUGUCUGUACAGGGCUAAAGAAGAGGAUGUUUUGAAUUCUCAUCCAACAAUUUUGUUCAGAGACAAUAAUUAUCUGCCAAAAUUUCAAAGCCCGACAGCUUGAGAUCUCUGUCUCUUUUCCUUUUGGUUUCAUUCCUUUAAAAAAUCAAAUUAAAAAAUAUGAACAUUUUUGUUCAAGAAAGCCAAGUUAUGAGCAAUAGUUUACCAAGAAAUGGACAGAUUUUUUUCAUUAUAUUUUACUUGCCAAAAAGGAUUUUGCUACCCAUAAAAUCUACAGUUCAGCAGAGAGAUAUUAUUAGUUCUGUCAUGAAUGUGAAAGAACACUGGGAAACCUUAAGAUAAUUUUUCAGAUGAUGUCAUGCUCAGUCUGGGGAUUGGUAUGGUAGAAAAUCUAAAACAUGGUCUAUUUAAAAAUACUUGGACAUUAAAUAGGAGCAUAAUUUGAACCAAUACCUCAGACACAAAAUGGUUGGCUCUAGGAAGAGGUCUCAGAAAAACCAAAAUGAUGCCUAUAUGUAUUCUUUUAAUGUCCCUUUAUUCUUAAUGGCCAUCUAGAACAUAAGCACCAUGAAGGCAAUGCUCUGCUGUAGCCACAGCACCUAGAAUAGUGUCUGGCAUAUAGUGAGAGUUUAAUAAAGAGUUAUUGGAUAAAGGAAUGGAUUAAUUACUAAAACCUCAUUUGGAAAGAGAUUCAGUUUUAUGAACACAUGGUAUUAAUGGGCAUCAAAUAGGCAAUUCCCCUAUGUUUUUAUUUAGCUACAACCAUUCUCCAUUCUCCAAGCCUCUGUUUCAUUUUGUCAACUGCCUAUAGACCUGUUAGUCCCUGUAACAAAGCUGCAUUAGCAUGUCCCCAAAUAAACUCAUCAUUUCUCCUUUUGGGAACAUUGCCCUCCUAUAGUUAAUAUAAAUAAAUAUCCUUUCUUCAUUAUUUUUCAAUACUGUGAAUAUUUUUAGACUUUUAAAAAAUAUUUCAUUUUUUUAUUUUGAGAGAGACAGUGUGCACGAGCAGGGGGAGGGGAAGAGGGAGAGAGAGAGAAAAAAAAAGUCUCAAGCAGACUCUGCUCUGAGCAUAGACACUGACAUGAGGCUGGAUGUCACAACACUGAGAUCUUGACCUGAGCCAAAAUACAGAGUCAGAUGCUCAAUGGACAGCUACCCAGGUGCCCCUUCGCUUUAACUUUUGGGGUUAUAAUACCCAAUAAUUCUGUUAUGCUGUCUCCCCUUGCCCUGGCCCUGACUCUGUUCCUUCUCUUGUUCAGGGUCUAAUUUCUACUUCUUUAGACCAGAAUUAUAUACAAUUCUUAAUUGAUCAACUUUCCUCAAACUUCUUUCUCUUCCAAUCCAUCCUAUAUAAGAAAAAUAGAUGUGUGUUUAUACAUUCAAUUGCCUCAUUUACUUUCCUUCUUUAAACUCUAGUAGUCUACAAAUUUCUAACUGGAUUCCUUAUUAUGUUAUCUAAGGCCUCAAAACAAGUUUUGAGGCAUAUCUCCAACUAUUCUAGGCACAUACUUUGAUUUCCAAUGAGGCUCAUUCUUUGAUACUCUAUGAACACAAUGUGCUAGGUUUUCUUCCCUCCAUUCCUUUGCUUAUGUGCUCUCCUUUUCCUGAACACCCUUCUCUACUUUGUUAUGCUUCUUAAACUGUAAUGAACUGCUUAAGCUCAGUGGCCUUCAUCCAAAUGUCCACUUCAACAUAAAGCAUCUCAGAAGGUCAGGAUCAGAGGUUUCUCUUCCCUUUGUUGCAUAGUGUGUGUGUGUAUAUAUAUAUAUAUAUAUAUAUAUAUAUAUAUAUAUAUAUACACUAUGCAGUGUAGCUCUGUGAUAUAUUUAAUAGGGGAAGUAUAUGUAUGCUUCUCCUAUUAAAUAUACCACAUAUUGCCUCACAUUAUAGAGUUAUGCAUUA